RNAcentral lists this ribosomal RNA (2751 nucleotides) under Triticum aestivum (bread wheat). Its description in RNAcentral is "partial small subunit ribosomal RNA". Lineage: Eukaryota; Viridiplantae; Streptophyta; Magnoliopsida; Poales; Poaceae. The record is from RNAcentral.
GAGGCCGGCCGAGGAGAGGGCGAACGCGGAGGAGGAGGGGGGUGAUCGCGGAGGGAGAGGAGGAAGGGGCGGAAGCGGGCCGGAGGAGGAAGGCGGGGUGGCUAGACCGCGGCGGGGCGGAGUGGCAGGAGGCGGCGGACGGAGGACGGAACGGAGCGGAGCGAGGCGGCGGCCGGAGGACGCGGUGGGACGGAGCGGUGCGAGGCGGCCGGCGGAGGACGCGGCGGGGUAGAGUGGCACGAGGCGGCCGGCGGAGGACGGAGGGUGGCACCUCUUGCCGCUGUCCGCCGACGGUUGCCUGCCUAUGUCCGUCUCCUCCCAGUCUCUCCGCGCGCCUUCCGGCUGCUCCAACCCGUCGCGGCCUAGGUCUCAAGCCCCACCACGGUACCAACGAGCCACUCGAGGACGUCCCCUUCUACCGCCCCGCUCUAAAUUUCCCUCUACCGUCUCUCUUCGCUUUCCCUCACCGCCGCCCCUAAGACAACGAGUGGCGCUUAUAGCUCGCGAACCCGUGGUACGCUCCGACGCCGACGCCCGCCAACCUCUGCGUCGGAAUCCGUUCAACAACAACGAAAGCUCACGACUCGCAGCGAGACAGCUCAGGCCGCCUGCUUCCUAAUCCCCUCCCUGCCCGACACCUCUGAAGCUCCGCCGACCACCUCCGCAACCGGAACAGCCUUCCGGCCUCCUCCGCUGGCCACCACCGAGCGGUACCGACGUGAAGUGCCCUCGCCUCCAUCCGUAAGCUACCGGUCAGGCACACCUACGUCUACUCUGGGUCGGCACUACUUGUUUAUCAUCAUCUGACACGACCAGAAAAGGAGGAUAGACUUAAAAGACGUCUACUCUAGGUCGGCACUAUUUGUUUGUCGUCAUCCGGCACGACGAGAAAAUAGAUAAGACUUAAAACACGUUGAGUCUAGGUGGUUCCUUCUCUACCUACUCCGGCACGACGAGGAGAGUAGAUAGAGUUAACGAUAUACCUUUCGAGAUUUAAAGGUUAGUCGGUACUUCCUGGCUAGUCUUCGCUCCGGGAACGACGAGCACAGAGGAACGACCACCGUUGGGCUGGAAGUCGAACGGUCGCUGUCCGUCCUUAGGCCAGUCACCGGCGGUUUAUUCAUGUCCAAUGCCUUCUCUGGAUUCAGGCUGGUGGCGGGUUGAGGGUCGAUGAGCGACGUUAAGGGUGUAGGUGGAGUUUACCCUAUUCGCGAGGUCCACUCCGCAGGGGCCGAUCCUCGUCUAGACCUAGGGUACCCAGGUGGAGAGGGGCAAGCAACCUAGAAACGGGGGGUCGGCACCGGUGAGGAGUCCAAACGACCGACUACAGUGCGGGCAAGGUUCCGUCCAAAAAGGGUCCCCUUGGAGGACCCCACACAGGAUACUCCAUCUUCUAAGAACGAGCCAAGGAACACAAACCCUACUAGGUCUACUCUAUCACGUAGUCAACGAGUGUGCUUCUUUGGUGGUGUUACUCUUAGGAGAAGAUUAGACUCUCCCCUUCUAUCUAUGGACCGACGGACCUUUUCAUAAAAAGUUUAAUUGGUCUUACUCAAACUGAACCACAUGUUUACACCUUGAAGUUCUUUUCCGUCCAAAUUGUCCUUUAUUAUCAUCGUGAUAAAGUUGUUCACCAAGGAAACAUACUACGCCCCGCUCCCGCUACUCCCGUCGCAGCCCAAACUGCGGCCUGCCCCGCCGGCCCCUACUCCCACCGUCACACAAACUGCGGCCCGAAUUCAUGGAGCUCCGGCAGUUACCGUUACACGAACACAUAGGGUCCAAGUAGUGGCUAGGAAAGUGCUAAAACGAUCUGUGCAAGAGACCGCCCAUUGACGUGUGUUGGUGUCCUCCUCCAGCACAACACCUUCUUAUGCCGGACCCGUUUCGGUAUGAGAACGUAGAGAAAGUUGACCUGUUUGUACUACCUAUACCACCACCUGGACCCGUCAAAACGAGAUUGGAGUUUGAGAAGAAUUAAGGGGUGUAAAUCGAAGCUCUUGCCGCAGCGGCCCCUCCUGCCCUCGCCGAGCUGGUUACCGGUGGCGUUACGAGAAGACGGGCGACGAACGGAGCGGUGGGCCCGCGUUUUAUCUCGACUGUUCUGCAGACAUACAUGACGUCAAGUUACUCCUUCACGCAGUGAAAAACAUUUCUUUAUGUUCUGAUAGAAAGUGGGUCCUCUCCAAUUGACUUAAUCCCUCUACCGUGACACGGGUACCUGUUUCAGUCAACGAGGCUAUACCUACUCGUCGUCCACGACGAUGGCGACGUCCACCUGUUCCGUGCUCCAGAGUACCGAGGAGGGUGAGAAGGGUUGUUGUGACAACACUACAUGACUUCGGAGGGCAAGGUGUACAAGUCAUGAACGUGGAGUUGCAGUGAAGACACUCACCACCGGAUCCAAUCCAGCUAGGGAUUAGAGACAAGGUUAAAUAAGGCCACAGUAAUAAGAGUCGUAGGAAAUUAAACGCUAAAUACGACGGAAACAUAAAAAACCCCGAUCUCUAACAUCCAACUAAAUCUAACGAUUGAGCUAAGUCUGAUGGUUAUGAUGACAUCUAUAGCUACAAAGGUCUCGUAGUAAUAGUUAACCGACAAUAGAGUAACACAAAUACUCGUCUAUGUUGUAGAGAACACUCUGAAUCAGAAUGUGAACGACUAUAUUUGAUGAACCGUUAUAAAUAUCUUACAUACAGAAAGACAAACAUGAUGAACUAUGUUUAGUCAACAGGAUCCGUUUGUAACACC